This is a long non-coding RNA of Phyllostomus hastatus (greater spear-nosed bat), 816 nucleotides long. RefSeq lists it as uncharacterized. The record is from RefSeq and is a predicted model, not a curated record. Lineage: Eukaryota; Metazoa; Chordata; Mammalia; Chiroptera; Phyllostomidae. The transcript is spliced from 3 exons.
CCUUCCUGCAACAACAACAAAAACGUUCACAGAGACAUUUCUUCUAGUGGCAUUUUCCUUGUUAGACCAUGUUCCUGCUACAAUAGAAGUAUUUUGCUAGGAGCUGUUCCUAGCUGUUUCCUUCAGUAAUAGUGUGCUCUCUGAUUGUGGUUAGGGUGAGGAAAUCCACCAGCCCCUUCCUGGCAGCUCUUUGCUACUUGUAGAAGAAAGAGGAUGGUCACGUAUAAGUUCGAGUGUGGAGAUUGGAUUGGAAGACCAGAGCUGGCAGAAUAGACCAGGCGGGAGUCUGUUGUUGCAGUAGACAAGGAACCCAUUGAAGCUGAGAAGAAUAUUAUCAUUAUGAGCCUCAAUCAUUGGUGAUAUUAAAAAAUACUUAACAACCAAUACGUCUUAGGGCCAACCAUAAUCCAGAAAUGGAAAAGGUCUUUAAUGCCCCCUGCCGAGCCUCACAUUAACCCUUUUGUUGCUGAAUCAGGGCAGAGUAAGAGGGAAUCCAAAAGGAGGGGGUCAGUUGGAGUGGCCAUUCACCCAACAGUACAGAAAGCUGUCAAUAUUUUAAUAAUCGGUAUGGCCACCAGCCCAGUGUGUGCCAGAUGACAGUCAGUCCUGCCUGCACUUGCCGAACAGGAAAAAAAUGGCUUUUCUAGGACUAUCCAUCAGUAAAGGCAGAGCUCGAAUUCAAAGUUAGUCUUCAAGGAUUCAAAUUCUCUACUGUUUUCUCUCUGCCACCCACUUCUUUGCCUAUGUGUUCUUCUUCACAUCCUAUGGACUGCCCUAGCCACUCACUCAGACCAGGAAAAAGAACAACGAAUUCGG